GGGCGGUUAGCUCAGCUGGUUAGAGCGCUGCGUUGACAUCGCAGAGGUCAGUGGUUCAAGUCCUCUACCGCCCACCA
This 77-nucleotide transfer RNA is filed under the name Chloroflexi bacterium RBG_16_50_9. Its description in RNAcentral is "tRNA-Val". It matches the Rfam family "tRNA". From Rfam's summary of the family: Transfer RNA (tRNA) molecules are approximately 80 nucleotides in length. Their secondary structure includes four short double-helical elements and three loops (D, anti-codon, and T loops). The record is from RNAcentral. Lineage: Bacteria; Bacillati; Chloroflexota.